UACGUAGGUCCCGAGCGUUGUCCGGAUUUAUUGGGCGUAACGCGAGCGCAGGUGGUUUCUUAAGUCUGGUGUAAAAGGCAGUGGCUCAACCAUUGUAUGCAUUGGAAACUGGUAGACUUGAGUGCAGGAGAGGAGAGUGGAAUUCCAUGUGUAGCGGUGAAAUGCGUAGAUAUAUGGAGGAACACCGGUGGCGAAAGCGGCUCUCUGGCCUGUAACUGACACUGAGGCUCGAAAGCGUGGGGAGCAAACAGG
RNAcentral lists this ribosomal RNA (252 nucleotides) under uncultured bacterium. Its description in RNAcentral is "partial 16S ribosomal RNA". It matches the Rfam family "Bacterial small subunit ribosomal RNA", at positions 524 to 776 of the family's 1533-position model. The record is from RNAcentral.